This 459-nucleotide ribosomal RNA is filed under the name uncultured bacterium. RNAcentral's name for it is "partial 16S ribosomal RNA". It matches the Rfam family "Bacterial small subunit ribosomal RNA", at positions 338 to 795 of the family's 1533-position model. The record is from RNAcentral.
CCUACGGGUGGCAGCAGUGAGGAAUAUUGGUCAAUGGCCGGGAGGCUGAACCAGCCAAGUCGCGUGAGGGAAGACGGCCCUACGGGUUGUAAACCUCUUUUGUCAGGGAGCAAGGUGCAGGUCGGGACCUGCUGUGAGAGUACCUGAAGAAAAAGCAUCGGCUAACUCCGUGCCAGCAGCCGCGGUAAUACGGAGGAUGCGAGCGUUAUCCGGAUUUAUUGGGUUUAAAGGGUGCGUAGGCGGAAUGCCAAGUCAGCGGUAAAAUCGCGGGGCUCAACCUCGCUCCGCCGUUGAAACUGGCGUUCUUGAGUGGGCGAGAAGUAUGCGGAAUGCGUGGUGUAGCGGUGAAAUGCAUAGAUAUCACGCAGAACUCCGAUUGCGAAGGCAGCAUACCGGCGCCCAACUGACGCUGAAGCACGAAAGCGUGGGUAUCGAACAGGAUUAGAUACCCCGGUAGUC